GAUGAACGCUAGCUACAGGCUUAACACAUGCAAGUCGCGGGGUCUGUUUCGGCAGACGACCGGCGCACGGGUGAGUAACGCGUAUCCAACCUGCCCCUCUCUUUGGCAUAGCCUUUCGAAAGAGAGAUUAAUUCCGAAUAACAUAGUUUAGUUGCAUGAUUCGACUAUGAAAGCUCCGGCGGAGAGGGAUGGGGAUGCGUUCCAUUAGGUAGUAGGCGGGGUAACGGCCCACCUAGCCGACGAUGGAUAGGGGUUCUGAGAGGAAGGUCCCCCACAUUGGAACUGAGACACGGUCCAAACUCCUACGGGAGGCAGCAGUGAGGAAUAUUGGUCAAUGGUCGGAAGACUGAACCAGCCAAGUAGCGUGAAAGGAUGAAGGUUCUAUGGAUUGUAAAACUUCUUUUUAUACGGGGAAUAAAAACCUCCCACGUGUGGGAGCUUGUAUGUACCGUAUGAAUAAGCAUCGGCUAAACUCCGUGCCAGCAGCCGCGG
Molecule: ribosomal RNA, 492 nt
Filed under: uncultured bacterium
Lineage: Bacteria
Description: bacterial SSU rRNA
Rfam family: Bacterial small subunit ribosomal RNA
Source: RNAcentral